RNAcentral lists this ribosomal RNA (497 nucleotides) under uncultured bacterium. Its description in RNAcentral is "partial 16S ribosomal RNA". It matches the Rfam family "Bacterial small subunit ribosomal RNA", at positions 28 to 507 of the family's 1533-position model. The record is from RNAcentral.
GAUGAACGCUGGCGGCGUGCCUAAUACAUGCAAGUCGAGCGAACGGACGAGAAGCUUGCUUCUCUGAUGUUAGCGGCGGACGGGUGAGUAACACGUGGAUAACCUACCUAUAAGACUGGGAUAAAUUCGGGAAACCGGAGCUAAUACCGGAUAAUAUUUUGAACCGCAUGGUUCAAAAGUGAAAGACGGUCUUGCUGUCACUUAUAGAUGGAUCCGCGCUGCAUUAGCUAGUUGGUAAGGUAACGGCUUACCAAGGCAACGAUGCAUAUCCGACCUGAGAGGGUGAUCGGCCACACUGGAACUGAGACACGGUCCAGACUCCUACGGGAGGCAGCAGUAGGGAAUCUUCCGCAAUGGGAGAAAGCCUGACGGAGCAACGCCGCGUGAGUGAUGAAGGUCUUCGGAUCGUAAAACUCUGUUAUUAGGGAAGAACAUAUGUGUAAGUAACUGUGCACAUCUUGACGGUACCUAAUCAGAAAGCCACGGCUAACUACGUG